GCUUGCUCCCGGAUGUUAGCGGCGGACGGGUGAGUAACACGUGGGUAACCUGCCUGUAAGACUGGGAUAACUCCGGGAAACCGGAGCUAAUACCGGAUAGUUCCUUGAACCGCAUGGUUCAAGGAUGAAAGACGGUUUCGGCUGUCACUUACAGAUGGACCCGCGGCGCAUUAGCUAGUUGGUGGGGUAAUGGCUCACCAAGGCGACGAUGCGUAGCCGACCUGAGAGGGUGAUCGGCCACACUGGGACUGAGACACGGCCCAGACUCCUACGGGAGGCAGCAGUAGGGAAUCUUCCGCAAUGGACGAAAGUCUGACGGAGCAACGCCGCGUGAGUGAUGAAGGUUUUCGGAUCGUAAAGCUCUGUUGUUAGGGAAGAACAAGUGCGAGAGUAACUGCUCGCACCUUGACGGUACCUAACCAGAAAGCCACGGCUAACUACGUGCCAGCAGCCGCGGUAAUACGUAGGUGGCAAGCGUUGUCCGGAAUUAUUGGGCGUAAAGGGCUCGCAGGCGGUUUCUUAAGUCUGAUGUGAAAGCCCCCGGCUCAACCCGGGGAGGGUCAUUGGAAACUGGGAAACUUGAGUGCAGAAGAGGAGAGUGGAAUUCCACGUGUAGCGGUGAAAUGCGUAGAGAUGUGGAGGAACACCAGUGGCGAAGGCGACUCUCUGGUCUGUAACUGACGCUGAGGAGCGAAAGCGUGGGGAGCGAACAGGAUUAGAUACCCUGGUAGUCCACGCCGUAAACGAUGAGUGCUAAGUGUUAGGGGGUUUCCGCCCCUUAGUGCUGCAGCUAACGCAUUAAGCACUCCGCCUGGGGAGUACGGUCGCAAGACUGAAACUCAAAGGAAUUGACGGGGGCCCGCACAAGCGGUGGAGCAUGUGGUUUAAUUCGAAGCAACGCGAAGAACCUUACCAGGUCUUGACAUCCUCUGACAACCCUAGAGAUAGGGCUUUCCCUUCGGGGACAGAGUGACAGGUGGUGCAUGGUUGUCGUCAGCUCGUGUC
This 1005-nucleotide ribosomal RNA is filed under the name Peribacillus acanthi. Its description in RNAcentral is "bacterial SSU rRNA". It matches the Rfam family "Bacterial small subunit ribosomal RNA", at positions 78 to 1066 of the family's 1533-position model. Lineage: Bacteria; Bacillati; Bacillota; Bacilli; Caryophanales; Bacillaceae. The record is from RNAcentral.